RNAcentral lists this ribosomal RNA (253 nucleotides) under uncultured bacterium. RNAcentral's name for it is "partial 16S ribosomal RNA". It matches the Rfam family "Bacterial small subunit ribosomal RNA", at positions 524 to 776 of the family's 1533-position model. The record is from RNAcentral.
UACAGAGGGUGCAAGCGUUAAUCGGAGUUACUGGGCGUAAAGGGCGCGUAGGCGGUUAGAUAAGUGAGAUGUGAAAUCCCAGGGCUCAACUCUGGACAGGCGGUGGAAACUACCAAGCUGGAGUACGGUAGGGGCAGAGGGAAUUUCCGGUGGAGCGGUGAAAUGCGUAGAGAUCGGAAAGGACACCAACGGCGAAAGCACUCUGCUGGGCCGACACUGACACUGAGAGACGAAAGCUAGGGGAGCGAAUGGG